UAAGGAAUAUUGGUCAAUGGGCGCAAGCCUGAACCCGCCAUGCCGCGUGCAGGAAGACGGCCCUAUGGGUUGUAAACUGCUUUUGUCAGGGAAUAAACCCCCGCUCGUGAGCGGGGCUGAAGGUACCUGAAGAAUAAGCAUCGGCUAACUCCGUGCCAGCAGCCGCGGUAAUACGGAGGAUGCAAGCGUUAUCCGGAUUCAUUGGGUUUAAAGGGUGCGCAGGAGGAGUGGUAAGUCAGGGGUGAAAUCCCACAGCUCAACUGUGGAACUGCCUUUGAUACUGUCAGUCUAGAGUAUAGUUGAAGUGGGCGGAAUGUGUCAUGUAGCGGUGAAAUGCUUAGAUAUGACACAGAACACCGAUCGCGAAGGCAGCUCGCUAAGCUAUAACUGACGCU
This 395-nucleotide ribosomal RNA is filed under the name uncultured bacterium. RNAcentral describes it as "bacterial SSU rRNA". It matches the Rfam family "Bacterial small subunit ribosomal RNA", at positions 355 to 747 of the family's 1533-position model. The record is from RNAcentral.